RNAcentral lists this long non-coding RNA (200 nucleotides) under Elaeis guineensis (African oil palm). RNAcentral's name for it is "long non-coding RNA (EGUI_LNC064625)". The record is from RNAcentral. Lineage: Eukaryota; Viridiplantae; Streptophyta; Magnoliopsida; Arecales; Arecaceae.
UUUCAUUCCUUUAUUACAUGCCAUUCUUUCUUAUUUAGAUAAGAUCUGAUCUUAUCUCUAAGGGGGUGUGAAGGUUUUGUGGUGGUGUGACAAAAAUUAAGAUGAGAAAAAUGGUGGCAUGCGCUAAAGUGUAAGGGUCUUCUUUCUUACCACAGAACUCCUCCCAACACCUCCCUUCUUUCUCCCUUCACAUCCAACAU